GAUGGGCUCAAACUUUCAACUGUUAUACAUUAGAAUUUAGAACUCCCUCCAUUACUUCUCAAUAAAAAGCCCCUUUAUCAGUGAAUUCGAAUCGCCUACAUUUCAACAGCAAUAUAGUCUCAGUCAUGCUCGCUGCUAGACUUUUUGGGAGAGCAUUGUUGGCUGCGGCCAAAUCAGAGAGUUCAGCUGAUGCUGCUUCUUCUGCUGCUACAACUAAGUCUUGUAGGAUCAGUAUAUUCGUGUGUUGAUGGAGAAAUGACAACUGUUUCAACUGAAGGGGAGUGUGCACAAUGCUGUCAAUGAUAUAUUUUCUCCAGCUUAGGAUUAGAGGUCGAAGUUGGAAGGCUUCUGAACUGCGUCUGAAGUCUUGGGAUGAUCUUCAAAAGUUAUGGUAUGUUCUUCUGAAGGAGAAGAACAUGUUAAUGACUCAACGCCAGAUGCUUCAUGCUCAGAACUUGAGGUUUCCCAAUCCUGAGCGUAUUUCCAAGGUACUUGCUUAAUCUCUAAUGGCCAAAAGCUAAGACAACUUGUAAUCGAAGUUUUGAUGUGAAGUGAAAGACUGAUCUGGAUGCCUGAACUGUUCAAAUUCAUGUUUACUCAUGUGUAUUGUUCAUAUAACAAAUUGCUCUUAAUAAUUUCAUGUUUAGCUUACUUGUGUACACAUUAGCUUACACGAUAAAUUAUGUAGUAGCAGCAUUUGAAACAUAGACGACCUGGACUUUUGACAAUUGUAAUAAUUGGACUGCUAUACUAGUGUGUAUUCAUUCAGUAAUA
This is an RNA transcript of Nicotiana attenuata, 774 nucleotides long. It is a transcript of the gene named 39S ribosomal protein L47, mitochondrial-like, with no coding region annotated. The record is from RefSeq and is a predicted model, not a curated record. NCBI's taxonomy places the organism in Eukaryota, Viridiplantae, Streptophyta, Magnoliopsida, Solanales, Solanaceae. The transcript has 5 exons.